This is a long non-coding RNA of Scleropages formosus (Asian bonytongue), 413 nucleotides long. RefSeq lists it as uncharacterized. NCBI's taxonomy places the organism in Eukaryota, Metazoa, Chordata, Actinopteri, Osteoglossiformes, Osteoglossidae. The record is from RefSeq and is a predicted model, not a curated record. The transcript is spliced from 3 exons.
GCCUGUUACAUUGAAAAGGGUAUAUGAUAAUUUUAAGAAACUUCACAGCACUGUUACUGCAAGCCACCUGGGACUCAAACCCACAAGCCCAGCUCCAGGGAAGGACUUGUGUAUUAGACCCCCUGAGAGAGGAUUAAAGCUGUGAGGAUGUAUGUUCCAGAUCGCUUUUCUCCAUUUCAAGAGUAAAACAGUCGGUGUGAAGAUACACCCCAGAACAUCAGCGAAACGCGGUCACCUGACACAUCCGGCGCACGUGAUUGGACGAAAAUGACACCGAUUACUUGGCGAAGAGCGCGGGAUGGCAGGCGGCCGCCGGAUCGCCGUCUGUUUCUGUGCAGGAACGCAGCAGCUCGCAGACGUUGAAUCGACAGAAAGAUGGAGACUGACAAUUAGCUAAAAAAAGCAGAUUUAAG